This 73-nucleotide transfer RNA is filed under the name Felis catus (domestic cat). It matches the Rfam family "tRNA". From Rfam's summary of the family: Transfer RNA (tRNA) molecules are approximately 80 nucleotides in length. RNAcentral also lists the same sequence under 5 other names. The record is from Rfam by way of RNAcentral. Lineage: Eukaryota; Metazoa; Chordata; Mammalia; Carnivora; Felidae.
GCCUGGCUGGCUCAGUCAGUAGAGCAUGCGACUCUUGAUCUCAGGGUUGUGAGUUCAAGCCUCGUGUUAGGUG